RNAcentral lists this ribosomal RNA (498 nucleotides) under uncultured bacterium. RNAcentral's name for it is "partial 16S ribosomal RNA". It matches the Rfam family "Bacterial small subunit ribosomal RNA", at positions 30 to 523 of the family's 1533-position model. The record is from RNAcentral.
AUUGAACGCUGGCGGCAUGCCUUACACAUGCAAGUCGAACGGUAACAGGUCUUCGGAUGCUGACGAGUGGCGAACGGGUGAGUAAUACAUCGGAACGUGCCUAGUAGUGGGGGAUAACUACUCGAAAGAGUGGCUAAUACCGCAUGAGAUCUACGGAUGAAAGCAGGGGAUCGCAAGACCUUGUGCUACUAGAGCGGCCGAUGGCAGAUUAGGUAGUUGGUGGGAUAAAAGCUUACCAGGCCGACGAUCUGUAGCUGGUCUGAGAGGACGAUCAGCCACACUGGGACUGAGACACGGCCCAGACUCCUACGGGAGGCAGCAGUGGGAAAUUUUGGACAAUGGGCGAAAGCCUGAUCCAGCAAUGCCGCGUGCAGGAUGAAGGCCUUCGGGUUGUAAACUGCUUUUGUACGGAACGAAAAGCCCCGGGUUAAUACCCUGGGGUCAUGACGGUACUGUAAGAAUAAGCACCGGCUAACUACGUGCCAGCCGCCACGGUAA